Long non-coding RNA from Oncorhynchus nerka (sockeye salmon), 13078 nucleotides. RefSeq lists it as uncharacterized. The record is from RefSeq and is a predicted model, not a curated record. The transcript is spliced from 4 exons. Lineage: Eukaryota; Metazoa; Chordata; Actinopteri; Salmoniformes; Salmonidae.
AUAUUUGAUUUGAAAAAUACAGACGUGUUUAGUGCAGGCUGCAGCACAGAUGAGCCCACAUCGACUGGUGUAUGUAUCUAGUUACUGUUACCUGGGAACACUGUGAGGGCGUGGUUCCGCUCCAGGCUGAGGACCAGGGAGCGUGCCGUGGUGCUGAAGAUCUGUCGGGGGGCAAAGUUCACCCCAUCAUUGACCUGGAAGUGGAAACCUCCCGACAAGGCACCUGCAAGGAACAAAAGCAACCUCCCCGCUUCUGUUCUGCCUGUCAUCUACCUACCUGGUGUCAUGAACUUCUGGUCAGCCUAUCAUCUACUUACCUGAUGUCAUGGACCACUGUGAUGCCGUUGGAGGCAUCCAGAAGGAAGGAGUCGUGGGUCUGGUCUGAAUCCACCUGGAGGUACUGGAUGUGUCCCAUGUUGACAUCCUCCUGGGAGAAGGAGUGGAUGGUCUCCUCUCUAGUACCCUGGUAGGGAUUGUCCUCUCCCUGGGUUGACCUACGGAGGAACCCGUGGGAUGGAGCCGUCUUCACCUUGUACACUAUCUCAGAGGGGAGGCUGUCCUUAUGGAUCACCUGAAAACAGAGACUUGCCCUCCUCCACCACUACAAUGUGGUUGUAGAGUACAGUGGGGGGCUGCUGGUGGCUCUCCAGGUACACUCUCACCCCAACGCUGGCGUCCAGACGCACCUCUUUAACGCUCACCGUGAAGUUGAAGGAGUCAGCCAGGUUCAUGCUGUCAUCAUGGCGAUACUGAACGCUGCCCACCUUCAGAUCAUGCUGAGUGAAACGAUCCACCUUCAAAUUGAAUUGAAUCAAUUGAAUUGAAUAAUACUAAACCGGUUUGCCUUUGAAUUGAAUUGAACUUUUAUUGAUGCCCUAGGUCAAAUUAAAUGAACAACAUCACAACACACAACAUGCACAUUACAAACAAUACAAUACUGGUGCUAUUUCAAUGAUUUUACCUUAACGUUGUUGUGGAACAGAUGCCCGUGUCUCGGCGGGAGGAAGACCUGGCAGACCACCUCCUCAUCGUCUCGGACAUCCAGGUUUGUAAACACACUGAAGUUGGCCGAACCCAAGAUGGCCACAUGGCCUUUCUGGACCAGCAGGCCUGUGUUGUUCUCCACCUGGAUGUAGGGGUCCUGGGCAAUGACAUCCAACAGUGUGGAUGUGUAGUGUUUCCCAUCUGACACGAAUAGGACGAAGCGUCCAAAGCUGACCUAUGGAGUGAAAUCUUUAAUAUUCGUAACUGUAACAAAGCAAUAUUUAAAACUGUGUGUGUAUUUUGUGUGUAAUAAAAGUUACUGAUUUCACUCCAUACUGACCCCCCUGUGGAUGAACAGCACCCUCCUCUGCUGCAGGUCCUCCUGGCUGAACUGGUACAACUUGUGGCCUGUGUCGUUUACUAGGACCAGGUCGCCCAUGGGGAUUCCCCGUCUAGUGUAGACCAGCUGACUGUCAUCAAAGUCUGAGUCAGCGUCGUGGUAGCGCAGGUCGUCUAACGUCAGCAGCCUCUGCCUGCCCCUGGCCACGUGGAAAACUUUGUCGACAACGCGGACCGGUUUCUCGUCAUUGACAAGGGCAAUCGAGAUGUUGAAGAUGUCAUCAAUGGUGUGAGUGUUUUCUUUUUUGGAGUGUGUGCGUUUGUGAUUGUGUGCUUUGGUGUGUUUGGCGACGGUGGUGUGGAAAGUGAACGCGUCUUCCAUGGUUUCACUGCCAUCGUGCACAUACAUGAUGCGGUCCUCUACGAUGUCCUGAUUGGUGAAAGCCGUGAUGUUAUCGUUAAUAGACGUAGAAUUAGAGAGAUUGAUCCUCUUUAACUUGCCAUGUUUAGGACUGCUGGUGAGUGUAUAAAGUGCUGCUUUGACCCCGACUGUUUCAGCAAACAGCAAAUCCUUGGUGAUUACCUUGCUUUCUCCUUCCAGGAUGGACAGUCCUUUGUUUGUUAGGAUCAGGCUAUGAACAUCUGCCUUGAUGUUGAUUCUGAAGUCGUAACCCCCUGAAUGUGCGUGUUUGGAGACCACCUGGAAACGAAACGAGUCCCUUGUGUCCUCAUGAGGCCUACCAGUUACCUCAUAUUUCACCAUGUGGUCAGAUAUAUUCUUCUGGCUAAAUGUUGAGUUUUUCAUUAAGACUUUGUCUUUGAACACGAGCUGUCCUUUCUUUGGCAGGGAUAGCAUUCUGAAGUGAAGUUCACUGUCAUGGAGCUUCAUGCCCUUGGAGACAACACAGAGCUCCUCGUUGCUAAGGACUUUCCUCACACCGCUGACCUCCAUCUUACUCCUGGUAACCUUGAAGUGGAUCCACCGCACCGUGAUGUGGAAAACCAGCUCAUCAGUCACUGCUGAGCCCACACUGACCCUGCAUUUGAACUGAUCUGUGACAUUGCUUGUCCUGAUCUCCUGGAAGGUGUUGAGGUACCUGAAUAGAAUCGAAAAUAAAAUAUUUAUUGUCCAUUAAAUUAUUUAACCAAAUGUAAAUAUUUCCUUCAACUCGUGGUGUUAAAACAAUGGACAAUUGCACACAAACACAGAUCAAACAACACAGCUAGGUACCUGAUGCGCUCUUUCUCCAGAAGCUUCUGUGAGAAGACAAAGGUGGGCUUCCACUCUCCGCUGGAGUGCAGCCGCUGCAGCUCGCCAUAUCGAGGUGCCUCCACCACGUCAUAGCGAAUGUCAAAGCCCUGCUUCACAACGUUUACCUGCAUAGCCAGGUGUUGGCUGCUGAUGACAGCAGCCCCACCCUGGUCCACCUCCACCCCUGUGUUGUUGUCCACCUUGUGCUCAAGCUGGACAGCCAUGAUCCUUAGUACUACUGUGUUGCUCACCUUGUCCCCAUCACUGACCCUCACAGCCAUCCGGGAGUUCCUCACCAGCCCUCCCGUGUGCACAUAGCUGACCUUCCCCUCCUCCAGGUCGGGUUGGGAGAAGGUGGUGAUGGCCAUCCCUGGGUGGUCCUGCUUCUCCAAUAAGCCUGCUUCAGCAUUAUGGUUCCCCAGUACGGUGAACACUAGGUCUGUGGAGUUGCUGUCCAGGUCGGUGGCUCUGAGAACAUCCGUGUUAAGGUGGCGUUUGGAGUUCUCCAGGAGGAUGAAGAGACUUCCCUCAGGGAGGCUGAGCUCGGGAGCGUCAUUGACGGGAGUGACGCUGAUGUUGAAGCGGUGUAGUUUGUUUCCCUUGAGGUAAAAAGGGAUCUCCUUCUUGCUGUUGGUAAAGACAGAGAACAUGAAGAAGUCUUGAGGGUCUUCUGAGCCUCCAUGGACGUAGAUCACUCUACCGUGCCACAGGUCCAGCAUGCUGAAGGUCCAAUCCUCGUUUUGGUCUGAAUGAUCCACAUCAAGCCUCAGCUGGCCAUGCACAGGCUGCUCUUCAAUACGGAACAUAAUCUGAGACUGACGGAUUCCAAGCUUCCGGAACUCUAGGUUCACCUUGAUGUGCUUAGAUUCUAACAGAGCCCUCCCACCUUCUGGAACCACUAAGUCUUUCAGAACCAGAAAGUUCUGACCCGGCCUCUUCCUGUCCCUGUCUGAUCCAUUAUGGUGGACUAGUGGCAAGGUGACAGAGAGGACAGCCGUGGGGCUCACGGUAGUGAUUGCUUCUGGAAGCUUCUCUAAUUCACAGCCGACAGAUAUGUCUUUGGUGACUACAGCGUGGGGAAGCCCCAUCCUCUGCGCAUUGACCCGGAUGUUUCUCAGACAGCCUUUGAAGGAUCCUCCACCGGCCAGCCGCUUCCCAUUGAAAGACAGUAGGCCGGCCUUCCUGGCUUCUAAACGUGAUCUGUCAUCCACACCACCCAUGUAGAGAGGGCCUCGGAGCUGCAAGGACUUGGAAUGAGCCCCUAGGCUGUGGUUGACUAUCUCCUCACCUAGAAAGAUACAAUUCAUUGGGAUCACUUUAUUUGAAAUAGAAAAUCUCAAAUAGAUGCUUUUUAGAUGUUCAGUAGAUGUUCAACAAACUGUCAACAACAUUCCAACUACAGUACUGUAACUAUUCAGUAACCCUAGCCCUAAUUUGACAACUCAAAAAAUACAAUUCCAGUCACACAAGUGUAUACUGAAUAUAAAAUCAACAAUGACAACACAAAACUACUUGUUUCCAUCGUGGUCCAUACAGGUUGUCCUUACCUACAGUCAGCUGCAGGCUGUGAGGAAGCAAGUGUAGUUUCACCCGGUGCCAUUUCUGGUUGUUGACGUACGUGAGGGAGUGCAGCUCCGUCCUAGUCCCGCCGUUACCAACGACAACCACCAAAGUCCCCUCUUGGAUCUCCAUGGCAAUAAAGUCACUCUGGUGGGCAGAGCUGUACAGGACAAUCCCCUCUUCGGAGGAGGUAUGUACCUCACACUCCAACACCCCCUCCUGAGGGACGUCCCACGGGGGCAGGGACAUGUACGCCCUGGAACUGAAGAAGCUGAUGGGGUCGUCUUCGCCUGCAGAAAACUGAGAACUGCAGCCCAGAGACACCUCAUGGACACUCUUAUAUCCCGAGUAGGGCCGCAGGCUGGACAGCAAGUUGUGCUGGUUGAAGAGCACCUCGUCAACACAGCCACGGAAGCCUAGGAGGAGGAGGAAGAGGAGGAGGAGCAGGAGGAAGAGAAGAAGAAUACUUUAUAGUCAUUGAUUAUAACUUAAAUCUAAUAUUUUUAUUUUAACCCAACCUGUGGCAUCGUCACUAUGGAGGUAGGGUUUGUCCAGGCCAACCGUCCCACCAACGAACAACCCAUCAUGGACACUGAGGUCCAGGUCUGGCCCGGGGAUCCUGACGCUGGUGUGAGAGUGGCGGUCCACCGACAGAGUGACGUUGUGCUGGUCGUGUUGGAGCUCCACAGAGUGCCAGGCCAAGUCGUUCAGAUGAACCCCCUUCUCAGAGCGGAGGGUACGCUCACCUGAUCCCAAAUCCAACUGAACCUGAGCGAAGGAAAGAAUGAUAAAGGAGAGAUGAAGGAGGGAUAAAGGAGAGAUGAAGGAGGGAUCAAUGAGAGAUGAAGGUGUGAUAAAGGAGAGACGAAGGAGAGAUGAAGGAGAGAUGAAGGAGGGAUAAAGGAGAGAUGAAGGUGUGAUAAAGGAGAGAUGAAGGAAAGAUUAAGGAGAGAUAAAGGAGGGGUAAAUGAGAGAUGAAGGUAUUGUGGACGGACCACUAGAGGGCAGGCUGGGCUCAUGGAUAGUUGCCCAACAGAGCCUGGGAGACAAGGUAACCAGAGUCAAUUAAGCACAGCUGACGGUACUAAUGAGAUACUCUCCUUCCCCUAUAAAAGAGAGAAUGGAACCAGAAGAGAGAGGGGAAACUAUCUCUGGAAGAUGGCCACCGAGAGAGAGAAGCUGUGCUGAAAGAACCACUAAGACGGUGACAAAACCGUGAUUUAUGUUUGUUGUAGUUUAAAGAUUAUCCUAUUGUGUUCUUGUAUCAUCUGGAGAAGAAGAUGGGUGUUUUUCCUUGGAAGAUUUUUCAUUGAUUAUGUUUGAAUGUUUUUGUUGACAAAAUACUCUCAAUAGAGAACCGUGUUCAAUCAGAAAAACCUUUUUCCUGACUCGUUUAUUCCACCUUCCCGCUUUAGAGUGACGCCUAAUUACUUGGUACGCUCACAGUAUCAAGAAAUGUUUUUUUUAAUUAACAAAAGACUAAUUGGUGGUUAUUUUGUAAGAACAUUACAGAUUUGUUACAAAAAUCAUCAAACAACAGAAGGGUUCAGGAAAGUAGCACAUCAAGGUUGUUCUCCUCCGCAUAUUUCUGUCUGACAUAGCAUAAGUAGAGGUCAUUCACAAGCAGGAUGCCAGGUUGAAUCCAUUCCACCACAUUUACAGCCACACAUCAACUAUAACCUUACAUGCUGCAGCAGAUACUAACAUUUAACCCACUGUGGUCUCUUCCAGAAAGAUUCAUGAAUGAACUUGUCAGGGACUGUGGUAAAUCCUUAAACUCACGGUGGUCUUUUUUUCUAUGAAAGCAAUAGGAACAUAGCCUUCCUCUGGGUUUAACCUUUGGCCAUUCUGAGGAUAAUAACUGCCUAUAUACACUACAUGGCCAGAAGUAUGUGGACACCUGCUGGUCAAACAUUUAAUUCCAAAAUCAUGGGCAGUAAUAUGGAGUUAGUCCCCCCUUUGCUGCUAUAAAAGCUUCCACUCUUCUGGGAAGACUUUCCACUAGAUGUUGGAACAUUGCUGCGGGGACUUGCUUCCAUUCACCCACAAGAGCAUUAGUGAGGUCAGGCACUGAUGUUGGGCCUGGCUUGUAGUCGGCACUCCAAUUCAUCCCAAAGGUCUCCGAUGGGGUUGAGGUCAGGGCUCUGUGCAGGCCAGUCAAGUUAUUCCACACUGAUCCCUUCACUGGAACUAAGGGGCCUAGCCCAAACCAUGAAAAAACAGCCCCAGACCAUUAUUCCUCUGAUUCACUCUAGAUAACGCGUUUCCACUGCUCCAGAGUCCAAUGGCGACGAGCUUUAAACCACUCCAGCCGACGCUUGGCAUUACACAUGGUGAUUUUAGAAGCUGUUCUGCUAUGGAAACCCAUUUCAUGAAGCUCCCAAAGAACAGUUCUUAUGCUGACGUUGCUUCCAGAGGCAGUUUGGAACUCGGUAGUGUUACGUUCCCCAGUUUAUGUGUUGUAGUUUGUAGUUUGUGCAUGUGUUUAUUUCAGGAAAUGGCUCCGGAAAUCCCUCAAGCAGCUGAUUGGUCGACUCCAUGGCUAAUUGGAGAGCUGACUCCGCCCCCUCGUCAAGACUGCUGUCUCCAAUUACCCAUUCCAUCUGAAGAUAUAUAAAUGCCAGUGUUCUGUUCAGGAGGGAGAUCUUUUUGUAGAGAGGUUUUGCUAGAGGUUUUGCUAGAGGUUUUGCUAGAGGUUUUGAUAGAGGUUGAUUUUGCUGGGAGUUCAUUGCUUUGUGAGUUUGUUGCUCAGAUAGAGCUUAUUUUGAUGUCCUUUGGUUCUUAGUUUGUUUGUGAAAUUGUUUACUAUUUCUGUUUCAUUUGUUCCCAGGGGGGAAGGGGAAGGCACCUUGGGAGUGCUUAGGCAAGAGGCCCGCGGGCAUACAUAUACCCGUAGCAUAUUCGCUGUCUAGGCACACUAGGUAAGACCUGGGCGGACCACCCCCUGUAUUUUGGUUAGGGCACCAGGUGGUGCUAAAUUAGGUAAGUAGUGGGUAGGCAGGUAAGAUAGGAGAGGGGGGGGGUUGAGAUUUACUUUCUUUGCUUUGGUUCCGUCCAGCCCCUUUUCCCCAUAUUACCGUGUAAAGGAAUAAAGUCCUUGUAAACGGUACCACAUUCUGCUUGUUGUCAUUUUUACUCACACCUACAGUCCAUACCUUUUUCGCUUCACAGAGAGUUUAGUUGUAGCAGGGUGUUGCGUUCCCUCUUCAUAGAAGCGUGCGUAACAUAAUGGGGGCUCGUCCGGGAUUUUUCCAUUAAACCCACCGGACCCUGCUGCUCUGAGCUCUCUCUGUGGUUAGUGAUUGAGGUGUGAUGGUAGGUUGUGAGUUUGGAUGACUUGUUUAGUUAGUGUGUUCAGUAGACUGCAUUGUAUAUAAGAUGGCUGCAUCAGCCAUCUCCAAGUUUUUUGAAGCGCCCUCUAUUGAUUGUUUGUUGAGGUUUCGUAAAGUAGACCUUAUAGCUAUAGCUGACCAUUAUGGAUUUGUAUUCCCUGAGAAAGCCCUAAAGGCUGAGCUUUUGGUGCUAGUCAGGGAGGGUUUAGUGAGAGAACGGAUUCUCUCAUUGCAAGGAGAGGAGACGGGUAGACCUUCUGAUGCCAAGUCAGAGGACAGGGCGGAGGAAGGGGUUCCUCGUACCCACUUUACAUUGCCCCGAUUCGAUCCUUUAUCUUCUGCUUCGGGUCGUUCAGAUGGGAUUGCUAGGCUGAAAGUGAGGCUGGCUCGGUUAGAAAUGGAGCAAAAAGAUAAAGAGAGACGGAUGAAUUUUGAACUUGAAAUUAGGAAAAUAGAAGCUGACAAGGAGGUGAGGAUCCGACAACUGGAGCUAGAUGCUGGCUCCAGUGCGACUCCACAAGCUGCUCAUCAUCAAGCCCACUUCGAUGUGAGUAAAAACAUAGCUUUAGUCCCUCCAUUCCGAGAGUCGGAAGUUGAUUAUUAUUUCUCGGCGUUUGAGCGUGUGGCCGCUGCGCUGCAUUGGCCACUCGAGGUUUGGCCUCUCUUGUUACAAUGUAAAUUGUCUGGGAAAGCCCAGGAAGUAGUAGCUGCUCUCUCCCUGGAAUACAGUUUACACUACAAUACAGUUAAAACUACUGUGUUGCGGGCUUAUGAGUUGGUGCCUGAAGCUUAUAGACAGCGCUUCAGGAACCACAAGAAACCCUCUCACCGUACAUUUGUUGAAUUUGCUAGGGACAAAGAGUCUCUGUUUAGUCGCUGGUGUUCAGCUAGCAAAGCUAACACCUUUGCUGAUAUUCGGGAGUUGGUGGUGUUGGAGGACUUUAAAAUCAACCUCCCAGAGAGAAUUGUAGUUCAUUUAAAUGAACAGAAAGUGGUGACAUUGGCCCAAGCAGCAGUGUUGGCAGAUGAGUACGCUUUGACACACAAGACUGUUUUUGGUGCACCACGUUUUGAAGGCCGGACGAUUACGUCAUCAGUUCCUCGUUCAGGUCGCUUUACCGCUGACAACCCUAAGCCUUUUCAUGAAAUCCGUGAAUGUUUUUACUGUCACCAAAAGGGUCACGUGAUUGCGGACUGCCCAGUUUUGAAAAAUAAACCGAAACAGUCCCUGUCACUGUCCCCAAAAAUGAAAAGUUUGGGUUUAGUCAAGUCUUUGGCUCUUCCAUUGGAUCGAGUUAUUGAUUCACCAUUUGAGAAACCGGAUCCUGUCUAUGCUCCGUUUAUCUCUGCCGGUGUUGUUUCCUUAACAGGAGAACAAGCUGAUCAGAAGCCUAUCCAAAUCCUACGAGACACCGGGGCGGCGCAGUCAGUAAUCGUUACUGAUGCUUUACCCUGGUCUCCUGAAACGUAUUGUGGCUCGCAUGUCAUAUUACAGGGGAUAGAGACAAAAACCGUACCUGUACCAUUACACUGGGUCCACUUAGUGUCAGACUUGGUAUCAGGAUGUUUCCGUGUUGGUGUAGUGUCUACACUGCCAGUAUCAGGAGUCAAAUUGCUACUAGGGAAUGAUAUUGCUGGUGGUAAUGUCACUCCUGUGUUAGAGGUAGUAGACAAUCCAGAAAUCAGAACUACAGAUGAGAAAUUGGUUCAAGCAUUUCCACAUGUUUUUCCUGCUUGUGUGUUAACGAGGGCACAAUCUCGCAAGCUAGGAGAUGUGGUGGAUUUGGCUACUUCCAUUUUUGAGAACGUUGAAGUAGAAGACAAUGCACCGAGUAUGCCUUCUGCAAUGCCGACAGGUUUUACCCCCGUAAAAACUAAGGCAGGGGAAAACGAAAUUGCGCCCCAAUUACAUGACAUUAUUUUGUCUGUCACCCCCGAGAAGGUGAUUGAAUGUCAAAAAGAAGACACCAGUCUUCGCAAGUGUUUUGCUUCGGUAAUUUCCAUUGAGGGAGCUAAAACUAGAGAGACCGCCUACUUUAUGGAAGCAGGAGUUUUGAUGCGGAAAUGGGCAUCUCAUGACACCAUUAAUGACUGGAGUGAAGUGUGUCAAGUGGUUGUUCCUACACCGUUCCGACAGCAGGUGCUGUCACUCGCCCAUGACCAGGCGUGGUCUGGACACUUGGGGAUCACAAAGACUUAUAACCGGGUCCUUCGUCAUUUCUUCUGGCCAGGUUUGAAGUCUGAUGUGGUCCAAUUUUGUAAAACAUGUCACAUAUGUCAACUCACUGGGAAAGUGAAUCAAACAGUUCCUCGAGCGCGGCUCUGCCCGAUUCCUGUGGUGGGGGAACCGUUUGAAAGAGUGAUAAUUGAUUGUGUAGGUCCAUUGCCGAAAACCAGGUCAGGUAACCAGUUCCUACUAACAAUAAUGUGCAGUGCUACUCGAUACCCAGAGGCUAUUCCUCUCCGUACUAUAACGGCUAAGACUGUGGUGAAGGCACUGGUGAAGUUCUUCUCUACGUUUGGACUCCCUAAAGUAAUCCAAACUGAUCAGGGAUCCAACUUCAUGUCUAAACUGUUUUCAAAUGUGUUAAAGACAUUGUGUAUUUCCCAUCAGGUCUCCAGUCCGUAUCAUCCAGAGAGUCAAGGGGCUCUAGAACGCUGGCAUCAGACACUGAAGGCAAUGCUACGCAAGUAUUGUAUGGAUACCAGUACUGAUUGGGAUGAGGGGGUGCCCUUUGUCCUAUUUGCUAUAAGGGAAACGAUACAAGAGUCCUUAGGGUUCAGCCCUGCUGACCUUGUGUUUGGACACACCCCACGGGGUCCGCUGAAAGUUUUGAAGGAGCAUAUCUUAUCUCCUACACCCAGUAGCGCCCUUAAAAAUGUGUUGGAUUAUGUCAGUAAGAUGCGGGAGAGACUGCACGCCGCAUGUGCGUUAGCCCAAAAGUCUCUCUCCUCGUCUCAAAAACGCAUGAAGUUGCAUUAUGACAAAAAGGCUGUUGGCCGUUCAUUUGCACCAGGGGAUCAAGUUUUAGUUUUGUUGCCAAUCCCUGGCUCAUCUCUGUCAGCACGUUUUUCUGGACCAUAUCUGGUGGAAAAGAAACUCAAUGACACCAAUUAUGUGAUAAAGACACCAGAUCGAAGGCGUUCUUCCCGUGUGUGUCAUGUUAACAUGCUGAAAACAUAUUAUGUGCGUGAUUCAGCUCCUCAAGUAAGCCGGUCCAGCCCACCGUCUCCAGUGUGGCUGCGGUGGUGCUGAAGCCUGGGUGGGACCUAGAUGAGGAUAAGGAGGACGGGUUGGAGUUACGCCAUACGUUACAGCAAGGUGAACGCCUAUGUAAUUCAGAGAUGCUGAAGAAGUUACCCUCUCAAAUGGAACAUUUGGAUAGCGAUCAAACUAAGGAUCUUAUCCUGUUGAUAAACAGUUUUCUCAGUGUGUUUCAGGACAUUCCAAGUCGCACAUCCAUCUUGGAACAUGACGUGGAUGUGGGGAAUGCUGUUCCUAUACGUCAGCAUCCGUACCGGGUUAAUGCUAAGAAAAGGGAGGUAAUGAAAAGUGAGGUAGCUUAUUUAUUACAGAAUGACAUGGCAAAACCCAGUAACAGCUCCUGGAGUUCCCCAUGUAUUCUUGUUCCUAAGCCAGACGGUACGUCCCGUUUAUGUACGGACUAUCGUCGCGUAAAUGCAGUUACAAAGUCUGAUUCUUUUCCUAUACCUCGCUUAGAUGACUGUAUUGAUAGAAUUGGUUCUGCUGCUUACGUUAGUAAGUUAGAUUUGUUAAAAGGUUAUUGGCAGGUGCCUCUGACCUCUCGAGCUUCUGACAUAUCGGCUUUUGUUACGCCAGAUAACUUUGUACAAUACACUGUGAUGCCCUUUGGCAUGUGUAAUGCACCUGCUACCUUUCAGCGGCUAGUUAACAUUGUGUUUGAAGAUGUGCCAAAUUGUACUGCGUACCUUGACGAUGUGGUGAUUCAUUCGUCUACUUGGUCUGAUCAUCUCUCCACUUUGAAAAGUGUGUUUCAGCGGUUGGAGAAGGCUUCUUUAACCCUCAAUUUGGCCAAGUGUGAGUUUGGGAAGGCUACAGUGACUUACUUAGGGAAACAAGUGGGACGAGGUCAAGUGCGCCCAGUAACUGGCAAAGUGGAAGCAAUUGUUGCUUUUCCUGCUCCCACUACUCGCCGCCAGUUGCGCAGAUUCCUAGGGAUGGUAGGGUACUAUCGUACAUUCUGUAAGAAUUUCUCGACGGUAGUUGCUCCCCUUUCAUCUCUGCUUAGUCCCAAGGUACCAUUCAAGUGGUCCAAGGACUGUAACUACGCUUUUGAGUCCGCUAAAGCGCUACUUUGUAGUGCCCCAGUGCUUGCCGCCCCCAACUUUGACAAACCUUUUAAGUUGGAGGUAGAUGCUAGUAUAGUGGGGGUGGGUGCGGUUCUCUUACAGGAAGAUGAAGACGGAGUGGAUCGGCCCGUCAGUUUCUUCUCCCGUAAGUUCAACUCGUGUCAGUCAAGGUACUCUACAAUUGAACAAGAGACGCUGGCUUUCUUGCUUGCCUUACAGUUCUUUGAGGUAUAUGUGGGCUCCAGUGCCUUGCCUGUUAUGGUCUUCACGGACCAUAAUCCGUUAGUGUUCUUGAAACAGAUGUACAACCAGAACCGCCGCCUUAUGCGGUGGGCUCUGAUUGUACAAGGAUAUAAAGUACAGAUAGCUUAUGUGAAGGGCUCGGCGAAUGUGGUUGCUGACGCUCUAUCACGGGUUUACUAACUGGGGAUAUGUUGGCUUUUGUUAUUGCAAAACUAGGUUUGCAAUUUUUGUGGUGGGCGUGUUGCGUUCCCCAGUUUAUGUGUUGUAGUUUGUAGUUUGUGCAUGUGUUUAUUUCAGGAAAUGGCUCCGGAAAUCCCUCAAGCAUCUGAUUGGUCGACUCCAUGGCUGAUUGGAGAGCUGACUCCGCCCCCUCGUCAAGACUGCUGUCUCCAAUUACCCAUUCCAUCUGAAGAUAUAUAAAUGCCAGUGUUCUGUUCAGGAGGGAGAGGUUUUGCUAGAGGUUUUGCUAGAGGUUUUGCUAGAGGUUUUGCUAGAGGUUUUGCUAGAGGUUUUGCUAGAGGUUUUGCUAGAGGUUUUGCUAGAGGUUUUGCUAGAGGUUUUGCUAGAGGUUUUGCUAGAGGUUUUGCUAGAGGUUUUGCUAGAGGUUUUGAUAGAGGUUUUGAUAGAGGUUGAUUUUGCUGGGAGUUCAUUGCUUUGUGAGUUUGUUGCUCAGAUAGAGCUUAUUUUGAUGUCCUUUGGUUCUUAGUUUGUUUGUGAAAUUGUUUACUAUUUCUGUUUCAUUUGUUCCCAGGGGGGAAGGGGAAGGCACCUUGGGAGUGCUUAGGCAAGAGGCCCGCGGGCAUACAUAUACCCGUAGCAUAUUCGCUGUCUAGGCACACUAGGUAAGACCUGGGCGGACCACCCCCUGUAUUUUGGUUAGGGCACCAGGUGGUGCUAAAUUAGGUAAGUAGUGGGUAGGCAGGUAAGAUAGGAGAGGGAGGGGGUUUGAGAUUUACUUUCUUUGCUUUGGUUCCGUCCAGCCCCUUUUCCCCAUAUUACCGUGUAAAGGAAUAAAGUCCUUGUAAACGGUACCACA